Long non-coding RNA from Vitis riparia (riverbank grape), 1336 nucleotides. RefSeq lists it as uncharacterized. The record is from RefSeq and is a predicted model, not a curated record. NCBI's taxonomy places the organism in Eukaryota, Viridiplantae, Streptophyta, Magnoliopsida, Vitales, Vitaceae. The transcript is spliced from 3 exons.
AUGAUAUUCGAGGUUUUGACGAGGUGGGAUUUAUUUUUACCCGGGAAUUAUUUUGUUCUGAUUUUGAACAAAUUUUCUAAUAAUUUAUAGGCAUUUUCUUCCUUCUCUAAAUUAGUUGAUUUCACAAACCCUAGAUUUCAAAAUUCAGAUGGGAAAUAUUGAAGAAAGAUGAUUCUCGUCUAUCAGGCGGUGGAGCAAUGCAUUUGAAGGGGAAGUGGAUUCUAUGGAUUAGAAGAUAGUAUAUUGAUGCAUUAUACAUGUUUGUUGAUUUGCUACUGAUGUUUUGUGCUUCAAGUUGUGAUCACCUAGUUUGUCAUGUGUAGUUCUGAAAAGCCUUAUCUUCAUCACUCGGAUUGGUUUCAUCUCCUUGUCCCUUACAUUGGGAUCCAAAUUGUUGAUAUAUGCCAGCAAAUGGCAUGUGGAAGGGGCAAGCUGAGGUGAAAGUUAAGGUAAACUGAUAGUUGGUUUGAUCACCUAUUUGCAAGAUCAUGUAUGGUCAGUUUUCUUGCGCUAGUCCCAUAUGCAUUUUUAAUCAUAAAUUUAUGAUCAACUAUAUGUCUCUAAAUUUCAUGGAAUUUAGUUAAUCUUUGCAGGCUUUUGAAUGAGUUUGUUAAGUGCUAAGUUGAAGUUGUAGCUGUUGCUUAUAUUAAUCAUAUUGCUUGUCACGUAGUAAAGUUUUGCCUGCUCCCAUAAAUAUUUGGUUUCUGUAAAAUUUCCAAGUGAAAUCAGUUGUUAAAUGUUCUGUUUUGCACCCUUGGUUGCCAUGGUUUAGCUUCAUUUGUCCAAUCACAUAUGCCCAUUGAGCAGCUUCUUCCUGCCUUGUAGCAGUAUGAGCAUGUUCACCUUAGCUUGGUUUUCAAAUAGUUAUAAACCCUACAGUUACCUAUGUUUGGGCGUUUCAUGUUGUUUGUCGAAUAUGUUUACUACAUACUUCAGGACAAUGCUCCUUUCUCACAUCUAUUAGCAUCAAACCACAGCCAUUUCUUUGGGAGUUAUGUCAGGAAUUUUGUCUAUAGAUGAUUUCCAAGAACAUGAUGCUAUAAUUGGAUUACUGCCAUUGAAAAUGUUUGUUUUGAUGUUUUAGAUUUGUGAGAUGAUGACUGCAAGUGGUCCAAAUAUGAACAGACUCUUUUUGGAAAUUGUGUGAAAUUGACAAGCAUAUUUGUGUGGUAGCUAUUGGAAAUAUAUAUUAUAUAUCUAAACUUUCUUUAAUUUGCAUAAAUUUGGAAAUUCAUGAAUAGACUCAAUACGAUAUCCCAUAAAUGGCUCUUUGUCAAUCCAACCGCUCAAACUUUACCUAGGAUUUAUGUUUUUAGUGUUUAAACUGUUGCGGCAU